GAAAUAUAAUAUAGAACUUCUAAUUCUAAAAUUAAUAAAUAUUAUUAAUAUUUCU
This 55-nucleotide transfer RNA is filed under the name Conostigmus sp. MM-2013. RNAcentral's name for it is "tRNA-Ser". The record is from RNAcentral. Lineage: Eukaryota; Metazoa; Arthropoda; Insecta; Hymenoptera; Megaspilidae.